Molecule: long non-coding RNA, 98 nt
Organism: Lynx canadensis (Canada lynx)
Lineage: Eukaryota; Metazoa; Chordata; Mammalia; Carnivora; Felidae
Exons: 3
Source: RefSeq, a predicted model, not a curated record
UUUUGGAUUUUCUAUUCUAUUCCAUUGAUCUAUGUGUCUAUUUUUGUGCCAGUAACACACUAUUUUGAUCACUACAUCUUUGUAAUACAGUUUGAAAU